CGUGUAGGCGGCCGGCCAAGUCGGAUGUGAAAGCCCUCGGCUUAACCGAGGAAGUGCGUUCGAAACUAGCUGGCUUGAGUACCGGAGAGGGUGGUGGAAUUCCCGGUGUAGAGGUGAAAUUCGUAGAUAUCGGGAGGAACACCAGUGGCGAAGGCGACCACCUGGACGGAUACUGACGCUGAGACGCGAAAGCGUGGGGAGCAAACAGGAUUAGAUACCCUGGUAGUCCACGCCGUAAACGAUGAGCGCUAGGUGUUGCGGGUGUUGACCCCUGCAGUGCCGAAGCUAACGCAUUAAGCGCUCCGCCUGGGAAGUACGGCCGCAAGGCUAAA
Molecule: ribosomal RNA, 332 nt
Filed under: uncultured bacterium
Lineage: Bacteria
Description: bacterial SSU rRNA
Rfam family: Bacterial small subunit ribosomal RNA
Source: RNAcentral